Molecule: ribosomal RNA, 301 nt
Filed under: uncultured bacterium
Lineage: Bacteria
Description: partial 16S ribosomal RNA
Rfam family: Bacterial small subunit ribosomal RNA
Source: RNAcentral
CAGUAGCCGCGGUAAUACGUAGGUGGCAAGCGUUGUCCGGAAUUAUUGGGCGUAAAGGGCUCGCAGGCGGUUUCUUAAGUCUGAUGUGAAAGCCCCCGGCUCAACCGGGGAGGGUCAUUAGAAACUGGUUGACUUGAGUGCAGAAGAGGAGAGUGGAAUUCCAUGUGUAGCGGUGAAAUGCGUAGAUAUAUGGAGGAACACCAGUGGCGAAGGCGACUCUCUGGUCUGUAACUGACGCUGAGGCUCGAAAGCGUGGGUAGCAAACAGGAUUAGAUACCCGUGUAGUCCCUGUCUCUUAUAC